This is a long non-coding RNA of Dendronephthya gigantea, 532 nucleotides long. RefSeq lists it as uncharacterized. The transcript is spliced from 3 exons. Lineage: Eukaryota; Metazoa; Cnidaria; Anthozoa; Malacalcyonacea; Nephtheidae. The record is from RefSeq and is a predicted model, not a curated record.
GUAAGCUCUGGUUUGCUCUUUGAGAACAGAAUUACUGUAAAAAGUUUAAUAAAUUCAUUAAAUUCAGUUCUUUUUUUAAAACCGGGUAGCCUGACAAAGAAAAGAGGCUUACAGCAAGCAAAAUAAAUCGCUUGUCAAGAUGAUAUUCAAGACUGAAAAAUUCAAGUGCAUUCAAGGAGUUCCAAAAAUCAUCGCUACCCUGCUCCAUAAAAGAUUACUCUUCAAAUGUGUGCAAGUGACAAGCCGGAGAAAAACUGAAGCGGAUCGUCAUGAUGAGCAACUGUGAAGCAUAUCAACACAAAUCAACCUUGGCAAAUGUCGAAAGAAACAAAGAAAGAUAAGGGCAUUUACAAUAUUUCAUGCAAUAUGGUUCAUUCUAUAUUUGUCGUUUCGCUUUCCGGCAGAGUAUAUUUUUUCGGGAGCGUCCAUUUCUCUAACUUAAGGACUUCUGUUAACGGCAGCAGCGUUCAUUUUUUCGGCAGCGUUCAUUUUUUCGGUUGCGUUCAUUUUUUCGGCAGCGUUCAUUUUUUCG